GUCUACAGCCACACCACCCUGAACAUGCCCAAUCUAGUCUGAUUUCAGAAGUUAAGCAGGGUCAGGUCUGGUUAGUACUUAGAUGGGAGGAACCAUUCUGGUUCAGUAUGACU
Ribosomal RNA from Bison bison bison, 113 nucleotides. NCBI's taxonomy places the organism in Eukaryota, Metazoa, Chordata, Mammalia, Artiodactyla, Bovidae. The record is from Ensembl.